GAUGAACGCUGGCGGCGUGCCUAAUACAUGCAAGUCGAGCGAACAGAUGAGGAGCUUGCUCCUCUGACGUUAGCGGCGGACGGGUGAGUAACACGUGGAUAACCUACCUAUAAGACUGGGAUAACUUCGGGAAACCGGAGCUAAUACCGGAUAAUAUAUUGAACCGCAUGGUUCAAUAGUGAAAGACGGUUUUGCUGUCACUUAUAGAUGGAUCCGCGCCGCAUUAGCUAGUUGGUAAGGUAACGGCUUACCAAGGCAACGAUGCGUAGCCGACCUGAGAGGGUGGUCGGCCACACUGGAACUGAGACACGGUCCAGACGCCUACGGGAGGCAGAAGUAGGGAAUCUUCCGCGAUGGGCGAAAGCCUGACGGAGCAAAGCCGCGUGGGGGAUAGAGGUUUUCGGAUCGUAAAACUCUGUUAUUAGGGAAGAACAAAUGUGUAAGUAACUAUGCACGUCUUGACGGUACCUAAUCAGAAAGCCACGGCUAACUACGUG
Molecule: ribosomal RNA, 497 nt
Filed under: uncultured bacterium
Lineage: Bacteria
Description: partial 16S ribosomal RNA
Rfam family: Bacterial small subunit ribosomal RNA
Source: RNAcentral